This 247-nucleotide ribosomal RNA is filed under the name uncultured bacterium. Its description in RNAcentral is "partial 16S ribosomal RNA". It matches the Rfam family "Bacterial small subunit ribosomal RNA", at positions 14 to 255 of the family's 1533-position model. The record is from RNAcentral.
UGAUCCUGGCUCAGGAUGAACGCUAGCGGCAGGCUUAACACAUGCAAGUCGGAGGGGCAGGCGGGGUGUAGCAAUACACUGCCGGCGACCGGCGCACGGGUGCGUAACGCGUAUGCAACCUACCCAUAACAGGGGCAUAACACUGAGAAAUUGGUACUAAUUCCCCAUAACAUUCGAAGAGGCAUCUCUUUGGGUUGAAAACUCCGGUGGUUAUGGAUGGGCAUGCGUUGUAUUAGCUAGUUGGUGG